This 474-nucleotide ribosomal RNA is filed under the name Triticum aestivum (bread wheat). RNAcentral describes it as "partial small subunit ribosomal RNA". Lineage: Eukaryota; Viridiplantae; Streptophyta; Magnoliopsida; Poales; Poaceae. The record is from RNAcentral.
AUGGGAGAUCUUAAUGAUAUACUUUAUGAUGUUGAAAAAAGUUCUCCCUUAGUGAAUUACUCACGCUUGCAUGCUUUUCGUUGUAUUGUGAAACAAUGUGGUCUAAUUGAUCUAGGAUAUAGUGGCCCUGCUUAUACUUGGACAAACAAGAGGUAUGCUUCUAACCCAAUCAUGGAAAGACUUGAUAGAUGUCUGGUUAAUGCUGAAUGGUGUGCGAUGUUUCCCAAUUCCAAUGUUUACAAUCUACCUAUUAUUCUCAGUGAUCACGCUCCUAUUCUACUUUCUACUGAUGCUCAUAUACGCAAGCCCAGAAGAAACUUUAAAUUUGAAAAUUGGUGGCUUAUGGAAAAUGAUUUUCAUGAAUAUGCUAAAAAUGUUUGGAUUGCUUCUAGGAAUAAAGUUUUCCACAAUAGGACAACUAACCUUGUAGGAUCUUUGAGAGCUUGGUGCAGAAAGAAAAAGUCAAUUCAAUAG